This 253-nucleotide ribosomal RNA is filed under the name uncultured bacterium. Its description in RNAcentral is "partial 16S ribosomal RNA". It matches the Rfam family "Bacterial small subunit ribosomal RNA", at positions 524 to 776 of the family's 1533-position model. The record is from RNAcentral.
AACGUAGGUGGCGAGCGUUAUCCGGAUUUACUGGGCGUAAAGGGUGUGCAGGCGGGCUGUUAAGUGGUGUAUGAAAUAUCCCGGCUCAACCGGGAAGGGUUAUGCCAGACUGGCAGUCUAGAGAGCGAGAGAGGGACGUGGAAUUCCGGGUGUAGUGGUGAAAUGCGUAGAGAUCCGGAGGAACACCAGUGGCGAAGGCGACACGCUGGGCCGUACCUGACACUGAUGCGCGACAGCAUGGGGAGCAAACAGG